UACGUAGGUGGCUAUUCAAGUUAGUUGUGAAAUCCCGGGGCUUAACUCCGGUGCUACAAUUAAGACUGUUUAGCUUGAGUGCAGGAGGGGUAAGUGGAAUUCCUAGUGUAGCGGUGGAAUGCGUUGAUAUUAGGAGGAACACCAGUGGCGAAGGCGACUUACUGGACUGUAACUGACACUGAAGUACGAAAGCGUGGGGAGCAAACA
This 207-nucleotide ribosomal RNA is filed under the name uncultured bacterium. Its description in RNAcentral is "partial 16S ribosomal RNA". It matches the Rfam family "Bacterial small subunit ribosomal RNA", at positions 568 to 774 of the family's 1533-position model. The record is from RNAcentral.